GCUUAUGGCCAUACUACUGUGAACAUGCCUGAUCUCGUCUGAUCUCAGAAGUUUAAGCAGAGUCAGGCUUGGUUAGUAUUUGGAUGGGAGACCGCCUGGGAAUUCUAGGUGCUGUAGGCA
This 120-nucleotide ribosomal RNA is filed under the name Callorhinchus milii (elephant shark). Lineage: Eukaryota; Metazoa; Chordata; Chondrichthyes; Chimaeriformes; Callorhinchidae. The record is from RNAcentral.